Olea europaea var. sylvestris is the source of this 1125-nucleotide long non-coding RNA. RefSeq lists it as uncharacterized. The record is from RefSeq and is a predicted model, not a curated record. Lineage: Eukaryota; Viridiplantae; Streptophyta; Magnoliopsida; Lamiales; Oleaceae. The transcript is spliced from 3 exons.
ACCAAAGUACCACUGGCUGCCACCAUUACCAUCAUUGUCUGCCACCACCACCCACUAUGACUGUAUUAACAACCUCCUACUGAUAAUUCUCGUGGUAUCGAUUAUCAUUCUUUCCAAUCCAGUGCAGGGUUACUUCCAAACCCACCAAAUUCUUGCACCACUACCCCCCUACCAAAAGGGAUUCUUCUACUUUGAUUUCGCCCAAAAUCCCGUUAACUUCUCUUAAUGAAGAUCGCAAAAGCUUGAAAAAGAACUAAAAAAAUUAGUAUGAUUCCAAUCCCAAUUACGAUUAAAUUCGAUGGCAAAGGGGGGUUAUGAGGAUGAUUUCCAUUUCUCUGAACGUUGGGUUGGACUGGCUUAUUUUUGCUCACCUCCCUUAAAUUCUUUGCCCAUGCCAAAAUUCUCACUCCGGCAAAAAGGACAACUUGGGGUGGUGUAAGGGUGAGUGGAGAAGAUGAUUCAUGGAAAAGCUUCUCGUAUAGAAGCUGGUUCACAAAACAGCUACAGAAAUUUAAAUUGAUAAAAAAUGUAUUGACGUGUUGGGUGUCCAGCAGAAAAAUUGAAAGGGGAUGUAACACACCACUCCACCCGCCAUUGAGAUCCCCCCACCCCCAAGAUAAGAUAUUUCUCGUCUCUCCCCGAAGCUAAAGUUGUUAGAUUGAUUGCCAGCUAGGGCGAAACACCAGCUCAUCUUUACACACUCACCCACAACAUCGACAACAGUCGCUCCCCCAUAUUGGAAUCCUCGCACGUCGAGUGCAAAGAUGGUAAUGUCCAACUCCCGUGACGAUAAAAACCAGUCUUCACCAACUCCGGAAAACCCAAGAGGUUCUAUGGAAGACGUAGGUGCCGGAGGCUGGUAUGAUGUUUAAUGAAGAAAUCGACAGGUUUAUUGCGAUUUGUGCACUCGAUAAUAUUACCUAGGUAAAGAUGUUAGGUUAUUUGUUGUUUUAACGGAUUGACGACAGUCGGAGACGCAGAAGAAAGCACCAGCGACAUAUACAGAAAUUAAUGGUUUCAGUUCGGUGGGUGAAUUAUUUGGGGAAAGUAGCGUAAGAAAGUGGGAGUCAAUCAUAGUGGGGGGUUUUUGUUUGUUUCAACGGUGACAUGAUAUUUUAUUUAUUU